This 31-nucleotide non-coding RNA is filed under the name Rattus norvegicus (Norway rat). The record is from RNAcentral. Lineage: Eukaryota; Metazoa; Chordata; Mammalia; Rodentia; Muridae.
UAGUCCUUGAAUAUAAUAUAUCACUAUGGAU